RNAcentral lists this ribosomal RNA (253 nucleotides) under uncultured bacterium. RNAcentral describes it as "partial 16S ribosomal RNA". It matches the Rfam family "Bacterial small subunit ribosomal RNA", at positions 524 to 776 of the family's 1533-position model. The record is from RNAcentral. RNAcentral also lists the same sequence under 1 other name.
UACGUGAGGGGCGAACGUUGUUCGGUGUCACUGGGCUUAAAGGGCGCGUAGGUGGCUGCGUAAGUAAGGUGUGAAAGCCCUCGGCUUACCCGGGGAAUUGCGCCUUAUACUGCGUGGCUUGAGGAUCUCAGGGGAAGGGGGAACUCCGAGUGUAGCGGUGAAAUGCGCAGAUAUUCGGGGGAAGGCCGGCGGCGAAGGCGCCCUUCUGGGAGAUUCCUGACACUGAGGCGCGAAAGCGUGGGGAGCAAACAGG